UGGGGAAUAUUGGACAAUGGGCGGAAGCCUGAUCCAGCCAUGCCGCGUGUGUGAAGAAGGCCUUUUGGUUGUAAAGCACUUUAAGCGAGGAGGAGGCUACUAGUACUAAUACUACCAGGUACUGGACGUUACUCGCAGAAUAAGCACCGGCUAACUCUGUGCCAGCAGCCGCGGUAAUACAGAGGGUGCGAGCGUUAAUCGGAUUUACUGGGCGUAAAGCGUGCGUAGGCGGCUAAUUGAGUCGGAUGUGAAAUCCCCGAGCUUAACUUGGGAAUUGCAUUCGAUACUGGUUAGCUAGAGUGUGGGAGAGGAUGGUAGGAUUCCAGGUGUAGCGGUGAAAUGCGUAGAGAUCUGGAGGAAUACCGAUGGCGAAGGCAGCCAUCUGGCCUAACACUGACGCUGAGGUACGAAAGCAUGGGGAGCAAACAGG
RNAcentral lists this ribosomal RNA (430 nucleotides) under Pseudomonadota bacterium. RNAcentral describes it as "Proteobacteria bacterium partial 16S ribosomal RNA". It matches the Rfam family "Bacterial small subunit ribosomal RNA", at positions 355 to 776 of the family's 1533-position model. Lineage: Bacteria; Pseudomonadati; Pseudomonadota. The record is from RNAcentral.